Pelobates cultripes (western spadefoot toad) is the source of this 126-nucleotide non-coding RNA. The record is from the annotation of a GenBank genome assembly. Lineage: Eukaryota; Metazoa; Chordata; Amphibia; Anura; Pelobatidae.
UAUAUAAAUAAAUGAAACCAAAGAUGGCUAGGGCUGCACUUGCCUAAACAUGCAUAUAUUUACAGGGUGCACCCUAUGUUCAGGUGAGUGCAGCCCUAGCCAUCUUUGGUUUCAUUUAUUUUUUAU